CCCUUAGAUGUUCUGGGCCGCACGCGCACUACACUGAUGCAUUCAACGAGUUUCUUCCUGGUCCGAGAGGAAUGGGUAACCUUUUGAAAGUGCAUCGUGAUAGGGAUAGACUAUUGCAAUUAUUGGUCUUCAACGAGGAAUUCCUAGUAGACGUAGUUCAUCAGACUGCAUCGAUUACGUCCCUGCCCUUUGUACACACCGCCCGUCGCUCCUACCGAUUGAAUGCUCAGGUGAGCCAUUCGGACUUUCAUCAUGCUGGUUUCCAGUUUUGAUGAAGGAAAGUCUUGCGAACCUUAUCAUUUAGAGGAAGGAGAAGUCGUAACA
Molecule: ribosomal RNA, 324 nt
Filed under: uncultured eukaryote
Lineage: Eukaryota
Description: partial 18S ribosomal RNA
Rfam family: Eukaryotic small subunit ribosomal RNA
Source: RNAcentral